Molecule: ribosomal RNA, 200 nt
Filed under: uncultured bacterium
Lineage: Bacteria
Description: partial 16S ribosomal RNA
Rfam family: Bacterial small subunit ribosomal RNA
Source: RNAcentral
AGAGUUUGAUCAUGGCUCAGGAUAAACGCUGGCGGCGUGCCUAACACAUGCAAGUCGAACGGUCUCUCGCUUCGCAAGGAGCGAGAGGCAGUGGCGGACGGGUGAGUAACACAUGGGUACCUGCCUUCAGGUGAGGAAUACCCCCGGGAAACCGGGGACAAGACCGCAUAGCCUCUCGUGGUGCAAGCCAGGAGAGGAAA